GCUACGGGCGGCAGCAGUGGGGAAUAUUGCACAAUGGGGGAAACCCUGAUGCAGCGACGCCGCGUGAGUGAAGAAGGAAUUCGGUACGUAAAGCUCUAUCAGCAGGGAAGAAAAUGACGGUACCGGAGUAAGAAGCCCCGGCUAACUACGUGCCAGCAGCCGCGGUAAUACGUAGGGGGCAAGCGUUAUCCGGAUUUAAGGGGUGUAAAGGGAGCGUAGUCGGUGCGCCAAGUCUGGAGUGAAAGGCCGCCGCUUAACUUCGGAACUGCUUUGGAAACUGGCGACCUAGAGUGCGGGAGGGGUAAGCGGAAUUCCUAGUGUAGCGGUGAAAUGCGUAGAUAUUAGGCGGAACACCGGUGGCGAAGGCGGCUUACUGGACCGUAUCUGACGUUGAGGCUCGAAAGCGUGGGGAGCAAACAGGAUUAGAUACCCCUGUAGUC
This 440-nucleotide ribosomal RNA is filed under the name uncultured bacterium. RNAcentral describes it as "partial 16S ribosomal RNA". It matches the Rfam family "Bacterial small subunit ribosomal RNA", at positions 338 to 795 of the family's 1533-position model. The record is from RNAcentral.